UGCGGUGUGUGGUAAAUGUCACCUCUCCUCAGACACCUGAUGAUACAAGGCGCAGGGCACACAGCACACCAUGAUGUGGACUACUAGCAGGACUAUCCUUCCAGGACUCUUACUAGUCACUAUCAUUACAGAUGUGCAGUCAGAUUUUCAGGUGUCACAGGAUCCAGAACUUCACAUUACAGAAGACCAAGAUGUCUCCCUGAAAUGUACUCACACAAUAACAACUUACCAGAUUCUGGUCUGGUACAAGCAACUCCCUGGACUCGGACUGGACAUCUGUGCUUAUGGUAUAGAUACACCUACUAACCUGCACUCCAGAUACUCUAUGACCAUGGAGAGAAGCUCUCUAAGUACUCAGCUUCAUAUAAAGAAUGUGAGGGGGGAGGACACAGCCGUGUAUUACUGUGCAGUGAGAGACACAGUGACACCGACAUACUGCAGCUCUGUACAAGAAGCAACAACCCUUCACACAGCGUGCACACAUAAAAAGUAUAACCUAUAA
This is a non-coding RNA of Bufo gargarizans (Asiatic toad), 502 nucleotides long. Lineage: Eukaryota; Metazoa; Chordata; Amphibia; Anura; Bufonidae. The record is from the annotation of a RefSeq genome assembly.